RNAcentral lists this small nuclear RNA (107 nucleotides) under Suricata suricatta (meerkat). Lineage: Eukaryota; Metazoa; Chordata; Mammalia; Carnivora; Herpestidae. The record is from RNAcentral.
GUGCUCGCUUCGGCAGCACAUAUACUAAAAUUGGAACAAUAUAGAGAAGAUUAGCAUGGCUCCUGCACAAGGAUGACAUGCAAAUAUGUGAAGUGUUCCAUAUUUUA